GACUCCUCUCCACUCCCCAUUGCGUUUUUUUUCUGGGGUCUUCUUUGUCCGGCCAUAUCUUCCUCCACAGGUCUCCAAUCGACUUGAUUCCAAAAGCAAUUUUUCUCAUCUUGACGUCGUCUAUAACUUCUCAGAAGACAUCAGGGUGAAAAUGGAACUGUGGAGGGCGCUGUAAGGCCGAGAAGCUGCACAGCUCUAGUUGGAAAUCACCUCCCUUCACCGGCUGAUAUCUUCCGAUUCCGGCCACCUCCAGUGAUAAACCUUAGUCCAUUGGAAGCGUCUUGGGACGUAGAUGAUGCUCCCCGAAGCUUUUGCUGAGAUUUGAAGCGUGGAGGAAGAAUUGACGGUUUGAAGUUGGAGGUUACUAUUCACGAUUCGGGUUCAACCUUCCCCUUAAUUGUUGAGGGCGAUGUACCGAGCUAUUGCUCGACGAAGGAACUCGUAUGCGUGAUCGCCUGAAUAGUAUUUUUGCAGGCGAAAUUAGUUGAGGGGCGUACAUUGGAGUUGAGGCAUAGACAACAGCGUGGCUUUCGCGUUUUUAUUUGAUUUAGGUUUUCCUUGAUCAACCUUGCUAUUAGAUUUGCUCUGAUUACCUGAGGAAAUUAAUGUUAUUUAAGUUGUGUUUUGUG
This 629-nucleotide long non-coding RNA is filed under the name Rosa chinensis. RNAcentral's name for it is "sRNA RchiOBHm_Chr2g0110591". The record is from RNAcentral. Lineage: Eukaryota; Viridiplantae; Streptophyta; Magnoliopsida; Rosales; Rosaceae.